RNAcentral lists this non-coding RNA (68 nucleotides) under unclassified sequences. RNAcentral describes it as "eL15-Euryarchaeota ribosomal protein leader". It matches the Rfam family "eL15-Euryarchaeota ribosomal protein leader". The record is from RNAcentral.
CCCGGUUCGCCGGGACGAGAUGUGGUCUGGGUGACGCGGACUCCGCGUCGUCGCGACUGAAUCGCAAG